RNAcentral lists this long non-coding RNA (381 nucleotides) under Sorghum bicolor (sorghum). Its description in RNAcentral is "long non-coding RNA (SBIC_LNC007540)". Lineage: Eukaryota; Viridiplantae; Streptophyta; Magnoliopsida; Poales; Poaceae. The record is from RNAcentral.
CUGUAAUAUAAGACGUAGCUAAAUCUUGCAUGCUAAUAUAUAUGCAGCUCAAAAUUAGCAGUAUGCGAUGAGAAAUGACCCAGCAAACAACUUAAGUCUCUAUUUUGAUUCUUUUUUUUAGUGUUUUUACUUUUAUCUGUCUAGAUAAUCUCAACUUUGUUCAGUCAAAAAAUAAUAAUCUCAACUUUGUAGAUCCUUUAUUUAUUUGAUAUAUGAUAGUGAAAUCUGGCUACAUUUCACUUGGAAACAAAAAUAUUUGAAGUUGUAGGUAUGGUCACAAUUUUUCCUAUAUAUCUGGAUUUACAUACAGGAAUAAAGGUUCAAAACUAAUGGUAGAAAUUAUGACAAGCAGCCAAGCAGGGGAUGGAAUGGGAAGGAAAC